RNAcentral lists this ribosomal RNA (811 nucleotides) under uncultured bacterium. RNAcentral's name for it is "bacterial SSU rRNA". It matches the Rfam family "Bacterial small subunit ribosomal RNA", at positions 579 to 1388 of the family's 1533-position model. The record is from RNAcentral.
UUUGUUGCGUNGUCUGUGAAAUUCCGGGGCUUAACUUCGGGGUGNCAGGCGAUACGGGCAUAACUAGAGUGCUGUAGGGGAGACUGGAAUUCCUGGUGUAGCGGUGGAAUGCGCAGAUAUCAGGAGGAACACCGAUGGCGAAGGCAGGUCUCUGGGCAGUAACUGACGCUGAGGAGCGAAAGCAUGGGGAGCGAACAGGAUUAGAUACCCUGGUAGUCCAUGCUGUAAACGGUGGGCGUUAGGUGUGGGGACCGGUUUGGUUUCUGUGCCGUAGCUAACGCAUUAAGCGCCCCGCCUGGGGAGUACGGCCGCAAGGCUAAAACUCAAAGGAAUUGACGGGGGCCCGCACAAGCGGCGGAGCAUGUGGAUUAAUUCGAUGCAACGCGAAGAACCUUACCUGGGUUUGACAUGCACCAGACGGUUGUAGAGAUACGUACCUCCCUUUGUGGUUGGUGUGCAGGUGGUGCAUGGUUGUCGUCAGCUCGUGUCGUGAGAUGUUGGGUUAAGUCCCGCAACAAGCGCAACCCUUGUCUUAUGUUGCCAGCACUUUGGGUGGGGACUCAUGAGAGACUGCCGGGGUUAACUCGGAGGAAGGUGGGGAUGACGUCAAAUCAUCAUGCCCUUUAUGCCCAGGGCUUCACACAUGCUACAAUGGUUAGUACAACGCGCUGCGAGCCUGUGAGGGUGAGCGAAUCGCUGAAAGCUAAUCUCAGUUCGGAUUGGGGUCUGCAACUCGACCCCAUGAAGUCGGAGUCGCUAGUAAUCGCAGAUCAGCAAUGCUGCGGUGAAUACGUUCCCGGGCCUUGUACAC